RNAcentral lists this ribosomal RNA (460 nucleotides) under uncultured bacterium. Its description in RNAcentral is "partial 16S ribosomal RNA". It matches the Rfam family "Bacterial small subunit ribosomal RNA", at positions 338 to 795 of the family's 1533-position model. The record is from RNAcentral.
CCUACGGGAGGCAGCAGUGAGGAAUAUUGGUCAAUGGACGAGAGUCUGAACCAGCCAAGUAGCGUGAAGGAUGACUGCCCUAUGGGUUGUAAACUUCUUUUAUAUGGGAAUAAAACGUUCCACGUGUGGGAUUUUGUAUGUACCAUAUGAAUAAGGAUCGGCUAACUCCGUGCCAGCAGCCGCGGUAAUACGGAGGAUGCGAGCGUUAUCCGGAUUUAUUGGGUUUAAAGGGAGCGUAGGUGGAUUGUUAAGGCAGUUGUGAAAGUUUGCGGCUCAACCGUAAAAUUGCAGUUGAAACUGGCAGUCUUGAGUACAGUAGAGGUGGGCGGAAUUCGUGGUGUAGCGGUGAAAUGCUUAGAUAUCACGAAGAACUCCGAUUGCGAAGGCAGUUCACUGAACUGCAACUGACACUGAGGCUCGAAAGUGUGGGUAUCAAACAGGAUUAGAUACCCUUGUAGUC